UCAACAUCAACUCAGCUUUCGCCACGUGUAUCUCCGUUUAUCAACAACACAUUUUUUUUAACAAAGUUAACAUUAAGGACUAAAACUAAAAAGUUAACAACUUACAAAGUUUAUUUUAGAAAAAAAAAAAAAAAUACAUGUAAGAAAACAAAAAACAUGCACAUUUACGGGGACCUUCUUACAUAUUGAAGCCGGUGAGAAAUAUAUGGAUCAUAACUUGGGAAGGUUGCUUUCGUAAUUGAGCCGCAUAUGAAUUUUAAAAUUUGAAAUAUCCCGUAAUUGGUGACUGCUUGCAACCGGUUGUUGGAUUUUGCUUUCUUCUAACAGAUAACUAUUGUUGGGUUUGAUGCCGUUGCAUUCUCACAAUCCACUGAGAUUUAUAAUUUCUUGCAACUAUUGUUUUGUUUAACACCAAUGUUUUUCCUUUUAAUACUAAUAAAUUUAAAGAUUGAAAAGAAAAGCUUGUUGGGUACAUGUGAGGAGGGAACUUUCAUCUCUAAGAACACCAAGCAGGUAAUUAUGAAUCACAAUGAUGAGAGAGAUGGCCAUUUACCCACACGUGAAGG
RNAcentral lists this long non-coding RNA (566 nucleotides) under Medicago truncatula (barrel medic). Its description in RNAcentral is "long non-coding RNA (MTRU_LNC000897)". Lineage: Eukaryota; Viridiplantae; Streptophyta; Magnoliopsida; Fabales; Fabaceae. The record is from RNAcentral.